Molecule: long non-coding RNA, 862 nt
Organism: Saccostrea echinata
Lineage: Eukaryota; Metazoa; Mollusca; Bivalvia; Ostreida; Ostreidae
Exons: 3
Source: RefSeq, a predicted model, not a curated record
GUCCCUCCCAUGAUUGAGAGUGAAUCGAACCUAGUCCAGUAAUAUUUACAAGUCUCACUUGUAUGUGAAAUAUUUUCCCAAGUGGGUUUCUGACCUAACUUUACCCAUUUGAUAAUUUCAUUCAAAUCUGAGUCUUUUAAUUGUAAAGAACCAAUACUAUUUUCGCUUACAAUUGUUUCAUUGUUAGCUACAUUUUCAGUUUGUUUUGUAGGGAUAUCAAGGGGCAGAGCAGAUUUACCACAAGAUCUGGUUGUAACAGAACAGUUUGCAGCAGGAAGAGGUCCUCUUAUACCAUCCUUGCUUAACAGUGAUUGGGGAUUACCCCUGUGCUUUGUCGACUUCUGCUCCCUGAAUUCGACACGGGAAAGUUUCCCUGAUUUGAGGAUUGAAAGCGACCAUUCUGAGAUUGUCUAUUUGGCCUUGUCAGAGCCUGAUUUCUGUGUAAGAGAAGAGGUACCGGACCGUUGAUACACAUCACAAGUGAUGUAAUCAUUCAGAUCGCAGGACCUGCACCCAUUCUCCUCAGAGGCUUCAAAUUGGCUGUUUUCAUUUGACAUUUUGACUUUUGUUAUUGGCUAUUGCAACACAAAUUUAUGUGUUUAUAUGUCAAUGUGCUUGUCGUUGUCAAUAGACUUAACAAGACUUAUAAGUCAAUAUUUUAGAUCCUGAUGUAGACUUUCGAUCAACCAGAAUAAAAGGAAGACUUUAUCCCACUUCUGACACCAAUUGUUACGACUUACAACUUUAUGUUUAGCGGCGUAACAUUGUGGGGCUCCUUAAUCUGAAUGUUGAACGAAAGACAACAGGAUAUAAUUUGUUUUUAAUAUUUUAUUAGAUUUUAUUCAAUAAACAUACAAAAAUA